Molecule: ribosomal RNA, 502 nt
Filed under: uncultured bacterium
Lineage: Bacteria
Description: partial 16S ribosomal RNA
Rfam family: Bacterial small subunit ribosomal RNA
Source: RNAcentral
GACGAACGCUGGCGGCGUGCCUAAUACAUGCAAGUCGAACGAACCGCGACUAAGUGCUUGCACUAAGUCAAGGUGAGUGGCGAACGGGUGAGUAACACGUGGGUAACCUACCUCAUAGUGGGGGAUAACAGUCGGAAACGACUGCUAAUACCGCAUAGGACAUAGGAUCACAUGAUCCAGUGAGGAAAGGUGGCGCAAGCUAUCGCUAAGAGAUGGACCCGCGGUGCAUUAGCUAGUUGGUAGGGUAAAGGCCUACCAAGGCGAUGAUGCAUAGCCGGCCUGAGAGGGUGAUCGGCCACAUUGGGACUGAGACACGGCCCAAACUCCUACGGGAGGCAGCAGUAGGGAAUCUUCCGCAAUGGACGCAAGUCUGACGGAGCAACGCCGCGUGAGUGAAGAAGGUCUUCGGAUCGUAAAGCUCUGUUGUUAGAGAAGAACAGCGCAUAGAGUAACUGCUAUGCGUGUGACGGUAUCUAACCAGAAAGCCACGGCUAACUACGUG